Nematostella vectensis (starlet sea anemone) is the source of this 466-nucleotide long non-coding RNA. RefSeq lists it as uncharacterized. The transcript is spliced from 3 exons. The record is from RefSeq and is a predicted model, not a curated record. NCBI's taxonomy places the organism in Eukaryota, Metazoa, Cnidaria, Anthozoa, Actiniaria, Edwardsiidae.
UUCUAUUUCUUUUCUAUAAGAAAUUAUGUGCUACGUACACAAAAAUGGAGCAUUAUGUGCCAUCUAGCCUACUGCUACAGUAUAACAAUAAGGAAGAGAAAAUUACUGACACAGAAGGACGUUUGGAAUCCUGUUCUGUCAUCUAGUCAACUGCAGGCUUUUACAUUAAGAGAAGAGAAAUGUGCUACUUAGAAUGACAUUUGUAAGCAUGAUCUGCCAUCUAGUCUACUGCUAUAAACACAAGGAAAGAGGUAAAGUUACUAUGAUUAUGGUUUGCAUAUAUCAUUAAACAUUAUGUUUUCAACUACUUACACCUUCUAAUUAACUAACACCGAAGACCCAGGCAGAUAUGAAAAUCAGAAAAAGAUUGUUCACCUUUCCUCUAUUUUUUUUUCUUUUUGACAAUUAGUGUUAGAUAAGACGUAAGGACAAGCCUGAUCUGUCAUCUUGUCAACUGCUUUUACAA